This 1270-nucleotide long non-coding RNA is filed under the name Gallus gallus (chicken). The record is from RNAcentral. Lineage: Eukaryota; Metazoa; Chordata; Aves; Galliformes; Phasianidae.
UGUAAGCUUUAUAUGGCUACAGUUACAGGAGAGCAUGUGAGUUAGAAAUGAGCACCAUCAGUUUGGCAUAGUGAGGAUAAACAGAAACAUAAAAAUCUUCCAGGUAUCUAUGCAAAAGCAAGUAAAAAUGAAUUCCUGUGAACAGCAGAGCCGCGUGUUCUUUAAGAAAAUUCCCCAGUGAAUGAAAUGAUAUUACAAGCUUUCCAAAGGUUUUAUUACAGAAAGGCUCGGGAAAGGCCACUGAGUAUGAGGUAAGUGGCUGUUUUGCAUUAGGCUGAGACACAAAAUUAGGCUGACAGAAACACUGCUUUCAAAGACAUGCAAAAGUUGAGCUCAAAGUCAAGGCUAAUGAAAGGAGAAGGAGAGGAAACAUUUUGCUUAUGAAGUUGCAUUUUUGGCCAAAUCACUGGUUAACCCUUACUAUGAUUAUUUCCAGUGUUUAAUUAAUUCUGACAUGGAAAGUAUCUUGUGAUGACAUAUUUCAUAUAAAACAGUGGAAUGUCAGUUUGAGAAACAUUGCUAAAUCAUGCGGAUGUCUUUCUAGCAUUAACUAGUAAAAGGCAAAGGUCUUGUGGGUUACGGUCUUGGUGGAUUUAUUUGUCCCUUCUAGAUUUGAAAGAGGAUUAGCUUCCAUUUGAAAGAUGAUUCCUUUGAUUGCCAGUAUGUAUUGUUUCAUUUCCUAAUAUUUUAUGCAGAAUGCAUUGAACAUGACUCUCAAGUACUUAUUUAUUUGUCCCAUUGCAGUGGGAGCUGGUUCAGAAUGAAAAUCUCGUAUUAAGUGUUGGGCACGUAUUAAAGACCAAGUGUGGAACCACUGACACCACAAGCUUUACCUGGGGGUUGUUCUUUUAGUGCAGUCUCUACAUUAAGAACUGUAUUCAUACAAAAAUUCAAGUAACAGUGGAGCUUCAAAGUUUGAAUGAGUCAGACUCUUAUGUCCUAGUUGCUUUUCAUAAAGACUGUGAUCAUAUUUUUGGGCCACCAUCAUCAAGUUACCUGGUAGUUGUUUACCUGUGUAAAUGCAAUCAGUUAUUCUAGGACUAUUUGACCCCAUUAUAAUUAUGGAGAGCUUAGGUCUUUGAGUGGGUUUUCUUACAUUGCAUUUAUAAAUGCAUUCUGAUUCAAAGUAGAAUUCUGUUUUUCUACAGAUAAAACCUUUUCUGUCUGUAAUAUUCAUUCAUAUUCUGUACAUUUUCUGUGUAAAUGAGAAGGCAAUUACUUUACUCAUUGUAUUUAGAGAUUUUUCACUGGGCUUGCAAUGUUACUCCCG